GAUGAAGAACGUAGCGAAAUGCGAUAAGUAGUGUGAAUUGCAGAAUUCAGUGAAUCAUCGAAUCUUUGAACGCACAUUGCGCCCUUUGGUAUUCCUUAGGGCAUGCCUGUUCGAGCGUCAUUUAACCCCUCAAGCUCAGCUUGGUGUUGGGUGUCUGUCCCCGCCUCACCGCGGGGACUCGCCUCAAAAUCAUUGGCGGCCGGUACGUUGGCUUCGAGCGCAGCAGAAACGCGAACUCGAGGCCCGGCGGAUCGGCGACCAGAAGUCACUUCUUCACAGUUUGACCUCGGAUCAGGUAGGGAUACCCGCUGAACUUAAGCAUAUCAAUAACCGGAGG
Molecule: unclassified non-coding RNA, 337 nt
Filed under: soil metagenome
Description: partial contains 5.8S ribosomal RNA, internal transcribed spacer 2, and large subunit ribosomal RNA
Rfam family: 5.8S ribosomal RNA (bases 1-120)
Source: RNAcentral